Homo sapiens (human) is the source of this 597-nucleotide long non-coding RNA. RefSeq lists it as uncharacterized. The record is from RefSeq and is a predicted model, not a curated record. NCBI's taxonomy places the organism in Eukaryota, Metazoa, Chordata, Mammalia, Primates, Hominidae. The transcript has 3 exons.
AGGCUGCAAAAGAGGGGCACCAGGGAAAGCUUUUCCUGCCAUUCACCCCUGCAGGAUCCUGGCCAGGCGAGUAGCUGUGUGACCCUGGGUUGAGUCAUCCCCAUUUUACAGAGGGAAAACUGAGACUCCGGAGGUUUGCGACAUGGCCUGCUAACAGGCAGAGCCGGGAUUCAAAUCAAGAUCUCACUCCAGUGAGUGAAUGGGAACAGGAUGCAGAUGGUAGACACUGAACACGAAGAAGAAAGCACUGAGGCUGGGAUGAAGAAAGACUUGCUGGCCUUUGAAGGACACUGCAUAACGAAGAAAUUAGAUCCUUGACAAUAUCCCUCGGCAAAUGUUGUGAAGACAGACCUGUCGUGCGAUUUUUGUCAGGUGCUCCAGGAAGAUUACAACAGUCUGUACUCUUUACCAAUAAGGCGUGAAGGUGCCCAUUUCACCACGUUUUUGCCAUCACAGCUUAUUAAUUUUUAAAUUUUGUUGCUACUCUGGUAGGUACAAAAAAGAUUCCUAUGAUAGUUUUAACUAUUCUCAAGCCUUCGAGCAAUUUUUUUUUUUUUUUUUUUGAAUACAGGGUCUCGCUCUGUCACCCAGGCUGGA